UCUCUCUCUCUCUUUCUUUCUUUCAACUUUCUUUCUUUCUUUCCCUCUGUCACAGUACAAGGGAUUGAAUCCAAGGCUAUUCCACAGUGCUUUAUCCUCAGCCUGUUUUAUAGUUUUUGCUUGUAAGUUGCCCAGACUGGACACCAACUUGAGAUCAUCCUACCUCAUUCUACAGAAUUCUGGCAGUUACAGACAUGUACAUCAAGACUGGCUAGCAAGGAAAUUCUACACCCAACCAUAGCCACUGGAAUAGCCAAAUGAGAUGAGAUGCGGCAGUGCCCUUGUUACAUCCAGAGAUGGAUUUCUCGUAUUAGAUCACAAAGCAAGUUUGCACUUCUAAUGAUGCAUGGUCUGACCACCCUCUCUUGUAAAGAUGUCACCAAACGAAUCCUCCCUCAUUUGGUAAGGUCUUUGCAUCGAAACA
This 424-nucleotide long non-coding RNA is filed under the name Cavia porcellus (domestic guinea pig). Its description in RNAcentral is "lncRNA (ENSCPOG00000030239.1)". Lineage: Eukaryota; Metazoa; Chordata; Mammalia; Rodentia; Caviidae. The record is from RNAcentral.